RNAcentral lists this ribosomal RNA (225 nucleotides) under uncultured Eubacteriales bacterium. Its description in RNAcentral is "uncultured Clostridiales bacterium partial 16S ribosomal RNA". It matches the Rfam family "Bacterial small subunit ribosomal RNA", at positions 109 to 334 of the family's 1533-position model. The record is from RNAcentral. Lineage: Bacteria; Bacillati; Bacillota; Clostridia; Eubacteriales.
AGUAACGCGUGAGCAACCUGCCUAUGACAGUGGGAUAGCCUCGGGAAACCGGGAUUAAUACCGCAUAAAAUCGUAGAGACACAUGUUUUAACGGUCAAAGAUUUAUCGGUCAUAGAUGGGCUCGCGUCUGAUUAGCUAGUUGGUGAGAUAACAGCCCACCAAGGCGACGAUCAGUAGCCGGUCUGAGAGGAUGAACGGCCACAUUGGAACUGAGACACGGUCCAA